CGCCCUUAGAGUUUGAUCAUGGCUCAGGAUGAACGCUGGCGGCGUGCUUAACACAUGCAAGUCGAACGAAUCCUUCGGGAUGAGUGGCGGACGGGUGAGUAACGCGUGGGUAACCUGCCUUGUACAGGGGGAUAACAGUUGGAAACGGCUGCUAAUACCGCAUAAGCGCACAAUCGCAUGAUCAGUGUGAAAAACUCCGGUGGUAUAAGAUGGACCCGCGUUGGAUUAGCUAGUUGGUGAGGUAACGGCCCACCAAGGCGACGAUCCAUAGCCGACCUGAGAGGGUGACCGGCCACAUUGGGACUGAGACACGGCCCAAACUCCUACGGGAGGCAGCAGUGGGGAAUAUUGCACAAUGGGCGAAAGCCUGAUGCAGCGACGCCGCGUGAGCGAAGAAGUAUUUCGGUAUGUAAAGCUCUAUCAGCAGGGAAGAUAAUGACGGUACCUGACUAAGAAGCACCGGCUAAAUACGUGCCAGCAGCCGCGGUAAUACGUAUGGUGCAAGCGUUAUCCGGAUUUACUGGGUGUAAAGGGAGCGCAGGCGGUGCGGCAAGUCUGAUGUGAAAGCCCGGGGCUCAACCCCGGUACUGCAUUGGAAACUGUCGUACUAGAG
RNAcentral lists this ribosomal RNA (613 nucleotides) under uncultured Lachnospiraceae bacterium. Its description in RNAcentral is "bacterial SSU rRNA". It matches the Rfam family "Bacterial small subunit ribosomal RNA", at positions 1 to 646 of the family's 1533-position model. The record is from RNAcentral. Lineage: Bacteria; Bacillati; Bacillota; Clostridia; Lachnospirales; Lachnospiraceae.